AAAAGCCCUAAGAAAAUAUUUCUACACACCAUCAAACUUGUACCCAAACACUACCUCCUCUCUCCUCUCAUCUCAUCUCUCUUAUUUUCUCUCAACUUUCUCUCAAAACAAACACCUUGGCCCAACCAUUCUCUCCCAUUUUCACCCAUCUACACUUGUUAUCUUCUCAUGAAAUUUGGAUUUGUUAUUAUCCUCAAGAAGAUCUUUAAGUCGAUGUAAAUUUUGUUGCAAGAUUCCAAGUAAAUCAAGGUGAAAUCCUCACUUAACUCUCUACCUCUUUCUCUUUCCUCUUUCUUUUAUUUUUCUUUUAAAUCUAAGGCUAAAAUCAUGCAUAAUAUGUCACAUUCACUAUGUUUUACAAUAAAAUUCAUGUUCAUGAUUUAGUUGGUAAAAAUCUCCCCCUUUUUUUUAUUAUAAGAGGUGAAUCCUCCAAAAAGUAAAGGAAAGGAAGUUUUGGAGGCUUGAUUUGUUAAGGUUUGUGAAUUUUCAACGUUUUAGAGAUUUUUAGGUUAUAAAUGUUUGAUUUCUGUGAAAUAUGGUUCAGGUUCUUAUUUUUGUGCCAUGUGUGUUUAGAUCCAUGCUUAAGCUUCCUUAUUUUUCCAUUAUUGUGAAGUUAUAUGAUUUUUAUGCUAUUUUUGUCAAACAGUAGUUGUUGUCCCUUUCAUUUAUGUUGAUUUUUCAGUUAUUAAGCUUAUAAUCUUUGAAUACAUGAGUUGACUAUGCUAUGUGUCAAGUUUGGUGAGAUUUGGAGCAUAUAUGAUAUAAUUUUUGAGCUAUCUACUUGGUGAUUUAUUGUGAUUUUAUUUUUAAUUGUUGCAUGUGUAUAUUAAUAUUUGUAUUUUGAUGGUUAAUGAUGAUUAUAUGGCUUUUGUUGAAUUAAAACGUUAGUUUUAUGCUAAUCUUGUUAUGGCCAACCAUAUGAGUAGUAAAAUGAAAUUUUACAAGACUUUGUGGGCUAUCUAAAACAUUUCCAAGGACUUGUUGGCACUUUACCUAUGAUUGGAGGAUUAUUGCACUAUUUGACUAAUUAAUGGGUUAUUAAGGAUUUAAUCAUGUAAAUAAAGGAUUUAAUUAAAAAUGUUACCAUCUAAAUUAUGGACAUGUGACAUUUGUAAAAUUAAGUAUAUAAUGUAAUUGGGACCUUAAAAAUGGAUUAAAUGUGGACUAUGGUUUAUUAAUUAUAUCAUACGUCUAUUUGUAGUGAGACUCAAAUUUAUAAUUAAUAAAAACUCUAAGGCUAUGUUUGGUUGGAUGUAAUGCAAUGCAAUGUAAUCAAAGAUAUAAUGCAAAGAAAAAUAUAAUGGAAUGUAAUGUAAUUAAGAUUCCAUUACUAUGUUUGGUAUGUAAUUAAGAAAAUUUAUGGAAUGUAAUCACCAUCUCAUUUUUAUGUUUGUUUGUAAAUACGUAAUGUAAUGCAAUUAAAACAUCAACACAACCAUCACUCUACCACCAUCACCACCACCACUACCACCCUAAACACCACCCCACUACCAUCAUCACCUCAAAUAAUUUUUUCAUAUUUGACAAGUGAAAAUAAUAAAUAUAGCCGUAUCAAAGAUAUAUGUAAAUAUUCCAAAAAUUUGAAAUCAUUCAGUUCGUACUUUAUUUUAUUUAUAUGAAAACAAUAAAUUAUAAAAUUUGGUUUCACAUAAUAACUUAUCAUUUAUUUGUGGAAUCAUAUAUUCGGUAUAAGUAAUUUUUUUAUAUAAAACUAACCUCAGUAAGAUGUGAAUUACUACAAGUUUGAUAAAUAAUUUAUUUCAUUUUCAAGCAACAAGUUUAAUAAAUAACUGAGUUAUAAAUUGCUCACUUCUAAGCAUAGCCUGUCUACUUUUUAAAACAAUAGAAAUUUAUUUUAAUUUUCAUGCGGAUUUAGAAACAAUAAUUAAUAUUAUUUGAAUAAUAAAUUUUAUUAUUUGAAUAAUCAAUAUUAGCUCAAUACCAAUAUUCAAUUAAAAAGUUCAUUAUUUUAAUUUUCAACUUAUUAUUGGUUCAUUAAAAAAGAGAGUAAAUCAAACUUGAUUAUUUUAAUUAAAUUCAAAGGAGUUUUAUUAAACCCUUUUAAACUUACUUAUGGCAUUUUAGCAAAUAUAAUACUAUCAGUAAAUUUUUGUAAAUCAUAAAACCAAAACCAAAAUUCUUGUAAUUAGAAAUUUCGUAAAUGAGAAAAAUAUCUCAUUAUUAAUAGGUUGAACAUUGCCAAAUGAGUCGACUAUUAGGAUUGAAUUUUACUAAGACCACUUACUAUUUUUACAUAUUCAAAUGCAUACGUGAAAUGUAAGAUCUAAAUACAUAGGUGGUGAAUGGUUAAGGUGGGUGGUGAUGGUGAUGGUGAUGGUGAUAGUUGUGGUGGUGGUUGAGGUGAAGGUGAGGGUGGUGGUGGUGGCAGUGUGGUGGUGGUGGAUUAAUGAUAGUGGUUGAGGUGGUGGUAAGGGUGGUGGUAGAGUGGUGGAGCGGUUAUGGUGGUGAUGGUGGAUUAGUGGUGGUGGUGAGGGUGGUGGAGGAGUGGAGGUGGUGGUGGUAGUGGAUUAGUAGUUGUGGUGGAGCGGUGGUGGUGGUGGUGGAUUAAUGGUGGUGGUGAGGAUGGUGGUGGUGGUGAGGUUGGUGGAGCAGUGGUGCUAGUGGUGGUGGUGGAACAGUAAUGGUGGUUGUGGUGGUGAGGUGGUAGUGUUAAAUAGUCUUGGAUAGUAAAGUUUUUAUUGGGGUAGCUUGAUGUAAUUGGUAUUACAUUAGCUUGAUGUAAUGGACAAUAUAUGUGUUUUUUGAUGUAAUAUUCAUUACAUCAAUUUAAGUAAUCAAGAUUACAUAUGUAAUCUCAAUUGCAUUACAUUGUCCAAAAAAGGUUUAACCAAACAAUGUAAUCAAUAAUGUAAUGAAAUCCCCAUUCCAUUACAUGGUUGAUUACAUCAAACCAAACAUGGCCUAUGGACCUAAUGAUAAUUUGACCUUAAUUAAGAUGAUAAUUGAUACAGACUCGCCUCUGAAAACUUAUUCAAGAAAGAAAUUUAACUCCUCAUAUGCUUUGCACAUGGGUUGAGAGCGUUUGAAAGAAGUCAAAACUGUUGGAGAAGAUGGAAUUAAUCAGUUGCUGGAAUUUCUCAAAGUAUAGAAACUGCUUCACGUGUCUGGUUUUUCUACUGCAGCUCACUUAUCCACUUACCCACUUUCCCAAUUACUUAGGAUUUGAUUUGCUUUCCUGUCAGGAUUUAUAUUUCGUUUUUUUAUUCUUUUUUUCAUCAUUAUUGAAGUAUUAAUCAAAGUUGUAAAAAGUCUGGUCCUCUCCAUACAGACUAACCAAAUAAAGCUUUCCAUUUUCUCAAUAAAUUUUCUUUCUUUUCUUUUUAUUUUCUGCUGCUGCUAUCAAUAAUCAACUAGGAUCACUGAUAAAUAAGUGAUAAUAUUAAAUUAAUUGGUUAGAAGUAGUUUUAUUAAAUGGUUAUGUAGUUAAAAAAUUAUAUCUAAAUGUAUUAGGUGAUUAAAUGGUAAAUAAUAGAAAUAAUAGAAUAUAUGGAUAUUAAAUUAAUUAGGUAGCUAUUUAGUAGUAUAAUUUAGUGAGAUAAUGAAUAUUAGGUUGCUAACCCUCAUUAGAUCAAUUAAUUUAUUAAUUGAUCAAUUUAAAUCUCAUUAAUGAGAAUUUAAGGAAAUAUGGAAAUUAUGGAUUAAUUACGUGAUGAUUUAUUAUAUUGGAUUUAGUGUAUUGAAUUAAUGCCAAAGUCUUGAAAGUUAUGCUAAAUAUGGAAUAAUAUGAUGAUUAUGCGAAAAUACAAUUUUAUUGAGUGAUUAAUUAUAUGAAAUGAAUUAUUAUGUUAUGAACCAUAAAAUAUUAUUUAUGAAUAUAAUAUGAUUAUAUGCAAUUAUGUGCGAAAUUGAGCAAUGAUGAGAUCAUGAGUAUGGUUAUAUGAUUAAAAUGUGAAUUAUGAAAAUGAGACUAUGAUGAAAUAUUUGGUAUGGAAAAUAUGAUUUUAUGAAUAAAUGAAUUUUAUGAAAGGGACUAUUUGUCAAACUAUAAUAGAAUGUUUUGGUGUAUUUAUAAGACCGAAAAUUCCAAGUUGUAAACACCGACAUAGUUGAAUUAUAAAACGAAUUAAAUAUAAUGGAUUUUUACCGGCCCUAGUUUACUUGUUCGAGUUCGUAAUGGUAUAGAGGUAGGACAUGUCAUAGAAAAAAUAAUACUAUCUAUGUUAUUAUGUGACACACAAUGUUAAUUACUCAGGAGCUAACAAACUCCCAUUAUUCAGGGGCUAUUGAAUCCCAAGCUUAUGAUAUGGUCAUUUGAUUUCGAUUGACGGGUCUUACGAUGUUAUUAUGAUUUUUGAGCCGUCUGUUAUUAUGUUUACUCUAUCUGUUAUUUGGCUUUUCUAGGUGAGCUAGUGGCCUCAUAAAACAUGCAAUUUUUAUGAAAUAAAUUAAGAAUUAAUUAUACUGCUCUUAUGAAAUGAUGCUUUUAUUUAUUGACACAUGAUUUCUAAAUUUGAUAUUACAUGCUAAAUUAUGGAUAUUUUUUUUAUGUGACUGAAUUGAGCCUUAUUCUGUAGAAUAUUAUGAUGUCAUGAUUAAAUAUGUAUUUAUGCCAUGCAUGAAUAUUGAAUUGAACACCAUAUACUAAUUAAUUAAAAUAAUGUUAUUAAGUGAUUGAAUAAAUAAUUAAUUGCCAGUUAUGGAAUUAUCCGGUCUGUUUUGAUGGUAUGACUAUAUAAGAGACUAUCCUUAAAUUUAGAGAAGCAUAAUUUAAGUGAUUGGGUAUUAAAUACUGAUGGUGAAUAUCAUAACUGGUGAUUUAAUAGUGAUAUUAACUAUUAUUUAUUAUUAUUUUAGCUAGUAAAUCAUUUAUGAUAUUAAAUGAUGAUUAUGAAAGUGUGAUUAAAUUAUGAUAUAAAUGUUGACUAUGUGUAAUUAGCUUGUGAUUAAAUUAUGGUAGGAAGUGUUGAAUGUUAUGCCCUAGAAUUUAAUUAUGCUAUGAACAUGUGAAUUUCUGUGUAAUUUCCUAUGAAAUAGAGAAAUUAGUAUCACUAAGUUUUAUGCUUAGCGCGUUGAUUUUAUCACCUGCAGGUGGUAAAUGGUGGUUGCAGAAGUGUACUAAGAUGGAUGCUUUAAAGUAGUGGAUAGAUAUGAAGUACUUAUAGUUAUUUGAUUUAUCGUGGCAUUAGUAGCAUGUAACUAAUUAUUAGAGGUUUUGUAUUAAUAUAAUGAAUUAUGGUCUACUGUAUUUAAAUUAUUUUAUAUGACCUGGGAGAUAUAUGCAUAAGAUAGUGUAGUGAUGAUUAUAAAUCUUAUGUUGACCCUUGAUGAGUUAUUAUGGGAUCAUUUAUUAAAAAUUCUUGAAUGUUAUAUUUGAGACGAUUUAUUUAUGAGAAAAUGUUAUGGGU
This 5366-nucleotide long non-coding RNA is filed under the name Jatropha curcas. Its description in RNAcentral is "long non-coding RNA (JCUR_LNC000100)". Lineage: Eukaryota; Viridiplantae; Streptophyta; Magnoliopsida; Malpighiales; Euphorbiaceae. The record is from RNAcentral.